RNAcentral lists this transfer RNA (89 nucleotides) under Halopseudomonas pertucinogena. RNAcentral describes it as "tRNA-Ser". The record is from RNAcentral. Lineage: Bacteria; Pseudomonadati; Pseudomonadota; Gammaproteobacteria; Pseudomonadales; Pseudomonadaceae.
AGCGCCGGUUGGCCACAGGCCUGCCGCUGCUGUCGGCAAACUGCAUGUCCAGUACCGGAAAGGGCUGUUCGAAGUCGGCCCGGUUAUAC